CUAAGGUGAGGCCUAACGGCGUAGCCGAUGCACAGACGGUAGAGAUUCCGUCACCACCAAAAGAGUUAAACACAGGGACACAUAUGAAGUCUCGGAGCCGGGUGUUGGUUCCGGUAGCGAUCGAGGGAAGUUAGUACCGAAGUCCGGGAUGGAAGAUGGCGAGAAAAGCUGUGUGUAUUUCUGCGGUGCCCGUACCGCAAACCGACACAGGUAGGUAGGAAGAAGAUUCUAAGGCCAACGGGAGAAGGGUUGUUAAGGAACUCGGCAAAUUGACCCCGUAACUCCGGGAGAAGGGGUGCUGCAGCAAUGCAGCCGCAGGGAAUCGGCCCAAGCAACUGUUUUACCAAAAACACAGGUUUGUGCUAAAUCGAAAGAUGACGUAUACGAGCUGACGCCUGCCCGGUGCUGGAAGGUUAAGAGGAGAUGUGCAAGCAUUGAAUCGAAGCCCCAGUGAACGGCGGCCGUAACGAUAACGGUCCUAAGGUAGCGAAAUUCCUUGUCAGGUAAGUUCUGACCCGCAUGAAAGGCGUAAUGAUUUGGGCACUGUCUCAACAGCCCGCCCGGCGAAACUGUAGUACCGGUGAAGAUGCCGGUUACCCGCGACAAGACGGAAAGACCCCAUGGAGCUUUACUGUAGCCUAAUAUUGGGUUUCGAUGUUGCAUGCACAGGAUAGAUGGGACUCUGGGAAGCAGGUGCUUUGGCGCUUGUGGAGUGGCCGUUGGGAUACCAUCCUUGCGAUAUUGGAAUUCUAACCUGCGCCUUUGAAUCAAGGCGGGGGACAUUGUUAGGUGGGCAGUUUGACUGGGGCGGUCGCCUCCUAAAGAGUAACGGAGGCGUUCAAAGGUUCGCUCAGCUUGAACGGAAAUCAAGCAAAAGAGUGCAAACGCAGAAGCGAGCCUAACUGCGAGACUGACGGGUCGAGCGGUAACGAAAGUUGGAGUUAGUGAUCCGGUGGUAUGUGAGUGGAAAUGCCAUCGCUCAACGGAUAAAAGUUACCCUGGGGAUAACAGGCUGAUCUCCCCCAAGAGUCCACAUCGACGGGGAGGUUUGGCACCUCGAUGUCGGCUCAUCGCAUCCUGGGGCUGUAUUCGGUCCCAAGGGUUUGGCUGUUCGCCAAUUAAAGCGGUACGCGAGCUGGGUUCAGAACGUCGUGAGACAGUUCGGUCCCUAUCUGUCGUGGGCGCAGGAUAUUUGAUGGGAGCUGUUCCUAGUACGAGAGGACCGGAGCGGACGUACCUCUGGCGCACCAGUUGUUCUGCCAAGAGCAUAGCUGGGCAACUAUGUACGGAUCGGAUAAACGCUGAAAGCAUCUAAGCGUGAAGCCGACCCAAAGAUAAGAUAUCCCAUUGUUUCAAACAAGUAAGACCCCUUGAAGACUACAAGGUUGAUAGGCACGAUGUGUAAGUGGAGCGAUCCAUUCAGCAAGCGUGUACUAAUAGGUCGAGGGCUUGAUC
RNAcentral lists this ribosomal RNA (1455 nucleotides) under metagenome. RNAcentral describes it as "bacterial LSU rRNA". It matches the Rfam family "Bacterial large subunit ribosomal RNA", at positions 1391 to 2925 of the family's 2925-position model. The record is from RNAcentral.